GCUGAACAAAGAUACAGAAACACAUUUCUGUAUUAUAGUGUGUCAUGGUUUCAUGAUUUUCGGUUAUUGGUACUCAACAUUAUAACAUCAUGUAGUGGAUGUACCUGGUUCUCAGAAGAGAAGGACUACUACAUUCCCCACGGUACUUUGCUCCUCUGUUACCAUUUUCCAGCCAGAGGGAAAAGAUAAAAGCUCGCAGUAUAAAAACUUCCAGAUCAUGAGACCUUGUCCCUUUUUUCCGCCAUCUCUCGUCUUGGCAGCACCUCGCUCUCCAGCCGUCUUAUCGUCGGUAGUAGAGUAAGGCCUACCUUGAUUUUGGGACAUUCUCUCUCUCUGUAUUGGAUUUAUCAGCUUAAAUUGUAAUUAUAUUGUAUUAUAGUGUGUUGUUUUGCAUUCCGAUAUUUUAUUUAGUAAAUUAGUUUGUUUCUCCUCAGAUUGUUGCCGCUGUUCUUUGCUCUCAGGGCCAUCUCCUCACCCUUUUCCCCUUUUCCUUUUUUCUGGGGCGUGGGCCUGUGGGUCCCCCGUCCCCUUCGUCAUGGAACCGGGCCAAACGCCCGUAAACCGUUGACAUAGUGGUAGAAACCUAAUCUGUCAGUCUCCUGAUGAGCAUUGAAGGGCUCCAGGUGAAUCCUCUAAAAAUAAAUGGAGCUAAUCCUACCCUUCCUCAACUGCUGACGUAUUGGUGAGCUCUCUUCUGACCCUAAGCUGCAUUUGGGGAUUUAUUCCAUAGGGAAGUGCUAACCUUUGAAGAACAAGAAUGUGUGGUGGAGUCAGAUUGAUAGGUGUUUUGGCUGUGGAACAAGUUUGGGACUGAUGGUUCGUUGGCAUGAGGCAGAGUCUACCAGCGGCCCCAGAGAGCCAGACGAAUAGGUCUGCAAAUUUCAGAUGCCAAAUUGCAGUUAACUAUGCUUCAGCUGAACAAAUUGCUAUUCUAAUCCCUCUACUAGCGUGAGCUGAAGUACUUUACUUUGGUUCCCAAAAACAAUUUGAACAUCUCUGUCAGAACAAAAACUUCAAUACCACAUAAAAAGGCUGACUGAAGAAGAACCUAUCAGAA
Molecule: long non-coding RNA, 1057 nt
Filed under: Numida meleagris (helmeted guineafowl)
Lineage: Eukaryota; Metazoa; Chordata; Aves; Galliformes; Numididae
Description: lncRNA (ENSNMEG00000010316.1)
Source: RNAcentral